This 300-nucleotide unclassified non-coding RNA is filed under the name uncultured Eurotiomycetes. RNAcentral describes it as "sequence contains 5.8S rRNA gene, ITS2". The stretch from base 1 to 72 matches the Rfam family "5.8S ribosomal RNA", at positions 84 to 154 of the family's 154-position model. Lineage: Eukaryota; Fungi; Ascomycota; Eurotiomycetes. The record is from RNAcentral.
GUGAGUCAUCGAAUCUUUGAACGCACAUUGCGCCCCUUGGUUAUUCCGAAGGGCAUGCCUGUUCGAGCGUCAUUAUCACCCCUCAAGCCCCGGCUUGGUGUUGGACUUAGUUAUAGCUUUGCCUAUCAACUGGUCUCAAAGACAGUGACGGCGCCCCAGAGGGAACCGGGUACGAGGAGCUUUUUGUUAAGCAUGUGCCUGGGACGACUCUGAUGGGCGACGGUCUUGUUAUACUUUUACCUAAGUGUUGACCUCGGAUCAGGUAGGAAUACCCGCUGAACUUAAGCAUAUCAAUAAGCG